GGUAGUCGCUGCUUUGUUGAUGUCCUUCGGGAGACUGACGUCGAAGUCCCUUUGGGAGACUGACGUUGACGUCCUUCGGGAGACUGACAAAGGGGAGGAAAGUCCGGGCUUCAUAGAGCAAGGUGCCAGGUAACGCCUGGGGGGCGCAAGCCUACGACAAGUGCAGCAGAGAGAAGACCGCCGAUGGCCCUAGGGCACAGGUAAGGGUGAAAGGGUGCGGUAAGAGCGCACCGGACGACUAGUAAUAGUUCGUAGCAGGGUAAACUCCACCUGAAGCAAGACCAAAUAGGCCUCCACAUUGCGUUGCUCGCGUAAGGAGGCGGGUAGGUUGCUCGAGCCAGUGAGUGAUUGCUGGCCUAGACGAAUGGCUACCGCCNAGAGAAGACCGCCGAUGGCCCUAGGGCACAG
This 408-nucleotide RNase P RNA is filed under the name Vibrio cholerae. RNAcentral describes it as "partial RNase P RNA component class A". It matches the Rfam family "Bacterial RNase P class A". From Rfam's summary of the family: Ribonuclease P (RNase P) is a ubiquitous endoribonuclease, found in archaea, bacteria and eukarya as well as chloroplasts and mitochondria. Its best characterised activity is the generation of mature 5'-ends of tRNAs by cleaving the 5'-leader elements of precursor-tRNAs. Cellular RNase Ps are ribonucleoproteins. Lineage: Bacteria; Pseudomonadati; Pseudomonadota; Gammaproteobacteria; Vibrionales; Vibrionaceae. The record is from RNAcentral.